RNAcentral lists this ribosomal RNA (253 nucleotides) under uncultured bacterium. RNAcentral's name for it is "partial 16S ribosomal RNA". It matches the Rfam family "Bacterial small subunit ribosomal RNA", at positions 524 to 776 of the family's 1533-position model. The record is from RNAcentral.
UACGUAGGGUGCGAGCGUUGUCCGGAAUUAUUGGGCGUAAAGGGCUCGUAGGCGGUUUGUCGCGUCGGGAGUGAAAUCCACUGGCUUAACUGGUGGCUUGCUUUCGAUACGGGCAGACUAGAGGUAGGCAGGGGAGAGCGGAACUCCUGGUGUAGCGGUGGAAUGCGCAGAUAUCAGGAGGAACACCGGUGGCGAAGGCGGGUCUCUGGGCAGUAACUGACGCUGAGGAGCGAAAGCGUGGGGAGCGAACAGG